AUGUUCGCUACCCAAUCCCGUUCUCGUGUGAACAACUGCCGCCACUCCCUCACCAAUGCACAGAAAGGCUCCUUGAGCGCAUCCGCAUACUUUGGGCAGAUGAGAGCACUCUCGGACGAGCUAGCUGCCGCCGGGAACCCCAUAACAGAAGCAGAUCUUCUUUCUCACAUCAUUGCAGGGCUCGACAUGGACUACUAACCUCUGAUCUCGGCGCUGGACGUACGCAUCGCUCCCCUCUCGGUGGAUGAUCUCUUCGGCAUGGUCUCCAACUUCGACCAAUGCGUUGAGAUGUUCCACGGGACAGGGGCAGGGGCUUUCAAGUCCUCGGCUAAUGUUGCAACCCGAGGUCGUGGCAACAACAACAACUCCAGCCGCUACCACAACUCCAACAGGAGUGGUGGUGGUGGAUCUCGUGGUGGCGGCGGCGGCCCUUACCAGAACGGCGGCAACGGCGGCGGCGGUCACUACAACAACUCCAACGCCGGUGGCGGCGGCUACAACAACUACAACAACGACGGCGGUGGUGGCGGCGGCCACUACUAG
Molecule: ribosomal RNA, 543 nt
Filed under: Triticum aestivum (bread wheat)
Lineage: Eukaryota; Viridiplantae; Streptophyta; Magnoliopsida; Poales; Poaceae
Description: partial small subunit ribosomal RNA
Source: RNAcentral